UACGAAGGGGGCUAGCGUUGUUCGGAUUUACUGGGCGUAAAGCGCACGUAGGCGGAUCGAUCAGUCAGGGGUGAAAUCCCAGGGCUCAACCCUGGAACUGCCUUUGAUACUGUCGAUCUGGAGUAUGGAAGAGGUGAGUGGAACUGCGAGUGUAGAGGUGAAAUUCGUAGAUAUUCGCAAGAACACCAGUGGCGAAGGCGGCUCACUGGCCCGAUACUGACGCUGAGGCACGAAAGCGUGGGGAGCAAACAGGG
This 254-nucleotide ribosomal RNA is filed under the name uncultured bacterium. Its description in RNAcentral is "partial 16S ribosomal RNA". It matches the Rfam family "Bacterial small subunit ribosomal RNA", at positions 524 to 777 of the family's 1533-position model. The record is from RNAcentral.